Molecule: ribosomal RNA, 254 nt
Filed under: uncultured bacterium
Lineage: Bacteria
Description: partial 16S ribosomal RNA
Rfam family: Bacterial small subunit ribosomal RNA
Source: RNAcentral
UACGGGGGGGGCAAGCGUUGUUCGGAAUUACUGGGCGUAAAGGGUUCGUAGGCGGCCAACUAAGUCAGACGUGAAAUCCCUCGGCUUAACCGGGGAACUGCGUCUGAUACUGGAUGGCUUGAGUUUGGGAGAGGGAUGCGGAAUUCCAGGUGUAGCGGUGAAAUGCGUAGAUAUCUGGAGGAACACCGGUGGCGAAGGCGGCAUCCUGGACCAACACUGACGCUGAGUGAGCGAAAGCCAGGGGAGCAAACGGG